UUCUGCCACCGAAUACAUUAGCAUGGGAUAAUGGAAUAGGACCCUGUCCUCCUAUUUUCAGUUGGUUUUGGCAGCGCGAGGACUAGGGUAAUGAUUAAUAGGGAUAGUUGGGGGCAUUAAUAUUUAAUUGUCAGAGGUGAAAUUCUUGGAUUUAUGAAAGAUUAACUUCUGCGAAAGCAUCUGCCAAGGAUGUUUUCAUUAAUCAAGAACGAAAGUUAGGGGAUCGAAGACGAUCAGAUACCGUCGUAGUCUUAACCAUAAACGAUGCCGACCAGCGAUUAGGAGACGUUGAAUACAAAACACCACCAUCGGUGCGGUCGUCCUUGGCGUCGGUCUUUCGGGGCCGGCGCGGGGGCGGCUUAGCCCGGUGGCACCGGUGAAUGACUCCCCUAGCAGCUUGUGAGA
Molecule: ribosomal RNA, 405 nt
Filed under: Acanthamoeba sp.
Lineage: Eukaryota; Discosea; Longamoebia; Acanthamoebidae
Also listed under: 1 other name
Description: SSU rRNA
Rfam family: Eukaryotic small subunit ribosomal RNA
Source: RNAcentral